CUGCAGAUUACUGAUACUCCACAUCGUAUCCAUGACAACUGCAAAGUAUUUCUUGUGUGUGAAGAAAGCUCUCGCCACUCGCCUCAUCUGGUCAAACGGCGAUUGUGCCAUACCGAAGGUGCUUUCCCCAUUCGGUAAGAGACCGCGACCUUCAUCAAAAACAAAAAGCACCUGCACCUCCCCCUCGUCCGGCAGUACAUCCUUCAAGUUUUCAAACUCUCGUUGGAGUAGUUUCUCGUUCCUGUCAUCCGGUGACUCACUAAUUUUCUCUACAGCUGUGCUGUUGAUCAAUUCAAGCCAUUUCUUGUGCACGGCCUCCGCAAUACUGGACGAAUCCAUCUGUGAAUCCAUCCACUGCACUGAGCUCAUCUUCGCACCCUUCGCCAUCUCAUGGAGGACAAAAAGCCACGCUUUGAAGUAUAGCGCCAUCUCCAACUCGCUGUUCGUUCGGCUGAGCUGGUUGGCAAGCUCCCCAGUUCGAGGAGGACAGGCGCUACUGUUUGCUGCUGCCGUGCUGCAAUAGCAAAUAUACACUCCCAGGCGCGACAUCUGCAUCACCCCGCGUGUUUUCCCCGUGCCAGAACCCUGUACUAUGGAGGUAUAGCAGCUGUAGUGCUCGUCUACACAAUAGCCAGUGCUAUAAGCCACAAUAACAGAAGAAUUCAAGACUUACUCUUUGAGCAUUCCUUCCUCAACUUACACAGCUCCUUGUACAAUAUCUUAUGAGCCCCCCCAAUGUAAUCCCUCCGUAACGAUUUCAUCGCCACUUUCAUAUUACUCUCGUGCCACAAACGAUCACGAUCAGGCCCAGUGUUCUCUGCACAGGCACAAGCAAAAGAAUACUCGAGCAGCAGACAAAAACACAGAACUUUCACCUAUCGGCUUCUCCAUGAGGAGCCUUUCACAUUGACGCAGCCACUCGUACGAAACACACUCCAACCUCUCCUUUAUCCACUGUAGCAGCUUGGGGUCUCGUGUUUCUUUCUUUGCCACUAGGUCGCUUAUCGUGUCGGAGCGAUCCUUUACUGCACAGGAAAUGCAAAAAGAACAGUAGCCUAAAGAAACAGCGAAAGAACUUACAGUUGAACAGCCUAUAUAUCUGGAAUGCGAGACGAGGAUUUCCUGGAAACAAGGGCAAAACCUCAUCUACAUCGGCCGUCCACAACCUGGAGGCCGAAUAGCCUUGCCGCUGAAGGCGCUCAUAGUCAGGUCCACAAAGAUCCCGCAAGCGCUCCUCGCCGUCAUCGCAGACGCUCUCCAUUAAACCCUAGAACUUACCCUCACACACCUUUUUCCCACCACCCAAUCUUAUGGGGUCUGUCAAAAUAUAGUAAUUUCAAUUUACUCGUUUCAUCAUUAAAAUUUUCGUCACAUCUAGUAUCAGCUUUCCUCUGAGUCCGAAACCACUGCGCUAGAUCCUCACAAGAAGAAGAUCAAGGAGCUAGUGGAUCACGUAAGUUUUAUUUUCGUUUUUUUGUUUCGACGGAUCGCCAUUCUUUUUUUUGCUCAUCCCAGAUCAUGAAUGCUGAUGAUCCAGAAGUCACCGAAGCUGUAAUCAGAGAUCAACGCAGCGCUUCCAAUGCACUCGAAGCUGUAGUCUACUCCACCUUGGCAGUGCACAACAUGAAACGCCAUGUAAAGUUGAAGCCCAACCAAAAGAGUAAGAAGAAAGAAAGAGGAGUUACAUUUUGGUAAAAGGUCACAAUAUGUACUGCUCGAAGUAGACUAUUGUUGCUGUGCUGUUUCAGCAUUUUGCAUUGCUCGCAGCCUCCGGCACUGGCAUAAGUUGUGAAUUGUACCACUUCUGCAAUUGCCAAAGCAGUGAAGUAUAUACUUCUAAGUGGCUGGAAAUUAUUUUCUACAUCUUGUGUUUUGCUUGGCAUCUGGAUCUCGAGUAAUGGGAAUCACUGCAAGCGCCAUUUAAGGAUUCUGAAGCUUCUAAUGUAGCAAGUAUGUACAAUAACAAAAACAUCAGGUCAACAUGCGGCAAUGGCAGAAGAAUGUUUUCUGAUUUUGCAUGACAUUUCUUCAUCCUUGGAUUUUUUCCCCUAUGAGUUUGCUGUUCUUCUUGUAAUAGGACAAGCAUUGUGAGGAUUAGCAAAGCAAAACUUUCAAUACUAGUAGCAUAGAAGUCAUAUUUAAAUUCUUGCUGCUUGCUAGACUGUAGUAAAGAUUGAUUCUUAUUUAUCCAACAAUUUAUUCUAAGUGCUAGGGGGCUGUGAAUUUCUGGUAAGUAGCAAAUUUUCUUAUAUCUCCGUGUGAAGAGCUGUGUUUAUUUAUUCCAGGAGAAAAAAAGCCAGGUACUUCAAGGAUGGAUUGUACUACCACGGUAACAUGGAACCAAAAUUUUGAGCAAGGUUAUCUGAAUCUGUUGUUUUUCUUCACAGGAGCGCUUCAUCGAGUCUCUUGUUAAUGCGCCCACACUACAACAACAAAGAGAGCUCUGGUAUAAUGCAUCCGCAUGCACCAAAAGUAACUGUCUCACUUUGAUUGCCUGAGCAGGUUCGCUUGUGUAGGAAACUGGCUAUCACAAGCUGGGAUUUUUGCGAAGAUGGUAUCUUUCUUCGUAACCAACAGAUUCACGAUGUGGUUUUGUGCUGGAGUGUGCAAAGGCCAGCUUCGUCUGCUACGCAAGGAGGGCAACUUAUACAAGUAAGACAUCUUUCUCAGGCGUGAUUCUCAUUGAACCACUUGUCCUUUGUUUUCACAGCUACAUUGUCCGCUGUCUAAAUUCAACAGCUGCGUAUUCACAUCUCCGGGACAGAAACUACUUUUACCGCUGCUGCCUGACUGGGAAGUUUUCAUCCAACUGCUGUCCUCGUUUCCUGGAAAAGGAAAACUUCCACAAACUCAAGGUACUACACACGAACGACUUGCCAUGAAUUUCAAGACUUUUGUGCUGUGUUGCAGACAAGGCUUGCUGCGGAGGAGUGCCUGUUGAUCCAGACAGCCACAUUUGUGGAGGAGCUUUCGAAGCGAAUGUACACCAAGGUACGUACCUGGAACUUCUUGUUUGGUGAAAUGCUGUGUAUUGCUUGGUGCUCAGGUGAUUUUGAUGGACCACGUCGACUGGCUAGAACAAAGCGACGUCGAUGUCCUUUGCAAAGCGCUGCAAGCACAUGUAAUUGUAAGUAGUUGCGAAUUUCCACACCCUCGAUCACCUCACACUUGUGAUUUCCAGUUGGUUUUUAGCCUGGGCCGCGUGAUCUGGCGCAGUGCGUCGUGAUCUCCAAGCUACGCCAAUUGCAUCGAGAAAUCUGGAUUCAAAGGUUCGAAGUUCUUUCCUUUUUGGAACUGUUUUUGGAAGCUAAAAACCAACUGUUUCUGCGCAGUGAUCCAAGUAGCAACGAGCAAGGCUUACAUGGACAGAGUAAACAUGUACGCGAGCUUCUUCGUGGCUGUUCGCGUGGGUGGAUUGGCAUCCAUCAAAAUUCCAAUCCAUCCAUCAUCGAGGCUUCACGAUCACAAGCUGGAUCCUAAAGAACCCGAGUCGCCGGACUCGGUGCUACCAGCGCCAUUGUGGAUCGAGAUUUGAUCGAUCAUUCCUUCCACUUCUCCACUGACGUCUAUCGAUUAAUUGGAACAUAACCAUUGUUAAUCAGCCCAAGGAAUAUAUUUGGCCCAAACCAUAUAAAUUGACUAUCCAUGAUGGGAUCUGCACAGCAAACUCCUGAAGCAGAGGUUAUGUAGAAUUUGCUGCAUUGCGUUAAACAUGCUGUUUGAGCAUAUAAAAAAAAAUGGUGGUGAUACUCCUUUCAUGGCGAAAAACCGCAGCCACCUUCGCAGGACUAGGACUGCUUGCCACGAUCAAUUCUUGUGGUGGUCUGUUUUGCCACCUUUGCAGGACUAAUUCAGGUGCAAGCUGAUUUGACUAAAAUAAUAUGGACCCCCUACCAGGUAUUUUGCCAUGAAAGCCAGGAGUGCUGAGCAGCACUAGACCUGGCAGCAGCAACAAGAAUAAGAAGUAUGGAAGUAUAGAAUUAAAAGUAUAGAAGAAUAAGUAAGAAUAUUGGCUGAAUUAGCCUUCUUAACAUCAAUCUUUAAGAUUUAGACGAUGGGAUUGAUCCACAACAUCACCAGAAUGUAAAUAUGUUUUAAACUUGUUUAUAUGGAACAUUAGAUGAAUUUUUUAAUUAAUUGGCAAGUCCAAAAUGCAAACAAAAUCCCCCACACUAUGAAAUUGUCUAAGGCCCAUAACAUUGUGAAGACAAUGUAGCGCCACCACCUCUUUUUAAAGACCAUUUUGCAUAUAACAACUUAAGGAAAACUUUAUCACCAACUUUGUACUUUUGAUGAUGAUAAUGUUCAUUAGCUAAUCUUUUAUCUUGUUCUUGAGUUUGUUUCAUGUUUAACUUUGUCAACUCAAAUUUAUCUUGUAUAUCCUCCAAGAAAUAAAAAAUAUAAAGCAUCCAAACCAAAGGUAAAUUCAAACUCAUGGAAUACUUAAGAAGCUCAUAACCAUAUAUUAGCUUAUUAAUGAGCAUUAUUAUGAGCAAAUUAAAGUGUGUUUACACUCUGGUGAUGUCAUGUCAUGAUGAGCUAUGAUUUGGCUUCACCUAAUUGCUUUCCAGCCUCCACCUAUGUAUCUGGCAUUGCAAUUGAAAAUUAAACUAGAAGUUUCUUUGUCUUAGCACCAAGGAAACAAAAGUUGGGUUCAAAACCAUAAAUUGUUUAUUGUGCACUGUCUUCUUGCCAAAGCUUCGUCAUCCUGCCAGUAAGACUUAUGCAGCUCAUCCUUCCUUUGUUGGCACUAGCUCUUUGGUUCUUGGACACUGAUGAGGACUGUCACCACUUUGAUUUGGAUUGCUAUGACUUGCACGUUAUUGUUGGCUUUGUACAUGAUUACAACGCAGCUGCUCAACUCCCCCUGCUUAACUAGAAUUUAAACUGUUAAUAGAGACCGCAGCGGAUUCAUCCAGACCGCUGCAUGCCUCGUCAACCUGUGCCUCCCCCAGCCCAGCAAUCGUCAGAGAUAAUACCGGGGAGGAAUGCGGCAUAGGUAGUAGUCACCCUUGUACAAGCUCCAACAAGCUGCAGGAGGACGAGCUUCACUAUGAAUUCCCCCCUAUGCCCAGCAUCCACAUAGCCAUUGUAGCAGCCCUUCAGGAACAGCUCUAGAGCAACUUCUAGAGGUUCGGCCACAAGAAUACUCAUGUGAGAAGCGACAAGAAGUGGCUUUGAGCACUCCGCGGGCAUAUCUCCAGGCCCGCUGAUGCAAGUGAUAAUACUCUGCGUGAUCGUAAGUAGCUGCGAAUUUGUACACUCGAGAGUCUCGAACACCCUCACACUCGGGCCAUUUUUUAGCAAAACUACUUAUGCUAAGUCGAAUUUUCGAGACAAGAAUUGCAGUUGCAGAAUUUUCGAGUUAGUUUCGGGCGCGGUUGCAGGGUCAUGCCAUGGCCGAUCUUUCACGAUUGCCAUGCCCUCCCUCCUUCCAGGAUCUUGAGGAUGACCCAGCUGGUGCUGCUCUGUUUUCUUGCGACACCACGAUCGCUUUGCGGCCGACGCUGUUCCUGAAUGGUAUCAAGGCAUUGCAGAUUAUCUGGCUACCGGCGAGUUCCCUGCUGACUUUACUGCCACCGAACGCAAGCGACUUAUUAUCCAGGCUCGUCCAUACUCUCUCCUGCAUGGCCAGCUCUACAUCCUCGGCCGUGACGACGUUCUACGCCGCUGUAUCCUUCCUCACACUGUCAUCACUUCAUGCCAUAAUUCACCUUAAGGCCACUUUUCAUCUGAGGCAACAAUUCGUUUGGUUCUUCAAGCUGGCUAUUGGUGGCCAACGCUUCACAAGGAUGUUGCUACCUACGUUCAGACCUGUGAUCCCUGCCAGGGUGCUGGUCGCCCAACUCACCGCGAUCUGAUGCCGCUUAAUCCUCUGCUUCUGGUGCUUCCUUUUGAGAAGUGACUACGUCACAAAGUGGGCCGAGGCUGAAGCUCUCACGGAAGACACAGCCAAGGUUGCGACUUUUCUUUACAAGAACAUCAUCAUGAGAUUUGGCUGCCCUUUGGAGCUGGUGAGUGACCGAGAUACUCACUUCAUCAAUCAAGUGAUCGAGACCUUGGUGGAGAAGUAUGGCAUCGCUCAUCGCUACCACCCUCGUGCUUGGUGCGCACCAACAAGAUAUGUGUGACAUCAUCAUGAAGCUCGCAAGUGCUUCUCGCACAGAUUGGGAUCACCGUUUGCUCGAUGCACUCUGGGCGUACCACGUUGCUUACAAGGUCACCACCAAAGCUUCACCGUUCCAUCUUGUUUAUGGACAAGAAGCCAUCCUGCCGCUUGAGCUCGAGAUUCCCUCUCUCCGUAUGGCUGUCGAGCACAACUUGGACUGGGACAACACUCUUCAAGCUCGACUGGACAUGCUUCUACAGCUCGACGAGCGUCGACUUCUCGCUUUCCAAGCUCGCGAAGCAUGCCGCAAUGGUAUGAUCGUCAUUUGCGUGCUAAACAUUUUUCUGCUGGUGGUUCUGCUGUAUGAUAGCAAGCACUGAAAAAAGCAUGGGAAACUACGUGUUCACUGGCUUGGGCCAUAUUGCAUUGUUGAAGUUUUUUCUAACGGCUCAGUCCAGCUUGAAGAUUUCAGUGGGAACUUCUUACCAACUGGUGCUCGCUUGCGCAAGUACCAUGAGUGAGAUGAAGCUGCCAUGGAGUUAUGUGCUCUGGGACGGAGCCCAAUAGGUGGGGGGUGAUGUAGAUUCCAACUUUAGUCAUGUCACCAGUGGGAUUGUAUGUAAUGUAUGUCUGUCCUGAAGAUUACCAAGAGGGAGUGGACCUGGGCUAUGAUGGUGCUGAGGCACAUCAAGAAGAAGCUAUGCUGUUGAUGAGAAGCCAAAAACCAGCCUAAGAACCAGACACUCUGUGCUGCUGACUUACACAGCAGCAGGGCUGCCGGGGUUUCUGGUUCUUGGGCUGAUUUUUUGCUUUUCGUUCUCUUGUUGAUGUGCCUCAGCACCCGAGUGUGCUCCCUCUUGGUAAUCUUCAAGACAAACAUCUUUAUUCUUUAUAUAUAAUCCCUUUUUACUUCUCUCCUAUCAUGACAUGGCUAAAGUUGGAAUAUUCUCUCAGUUCUACAUGCACCAUUCACGACUUGAUUUUAUCAACUUUUACAUAGUGCAUCACAGUGUUCAUCUACAAUUUCCUCUGGCUUCAAAAUGCUGCACAAGCUUAAUAUGGAAGAAAUUCAAAAAGUCUUAGAUUCAAUGGAAAGAAAACUCUUAGAAAACAAUUUAAUUUGUGCAAAAUGGGCAAACCACAUUAUAUCGUUCAGUAUUAUAACUUUAUACUACAGAACUACUACAUUACUUCACCUAGGGAAUUUUAUAGGAAUUAACCAAACAUGAAAUUUCAUUAUAUAUAUUUGACAAUUACAACUUUAGGGUUCUUUAGUAUCCAUGUGGCAUUAUAAUAAUUACUGCCUAACUUGGUUUAGUUUCAUAAUGCCAUACAAAAUUAUGUUCUAUGAGGAUGGAGCAAAUUGAUACUUCACUAAUUCAUAAUAAGGAAGUGUUUUAAGUGUAUAGAAUAUAGAAAUGUACAUAUUUAAUAAGCUUAAUAACCUCAGAUUAUAUAUAUGAAUGAGUGGUCCAGAUUAAAAUCAAUUUGACAACUAUAAAAAACUAUAUUAAUAAUUUUAUAUGGCAUUGUUAUAUCAUCACCUCCUAUUUAAAUGAUGGAAGGGAAAUAAGAUUCUCCUAUCGAUAAGUUGAGAUUUGGAAGAACAUCAGGAGGACACACUAUUGAAUUUGUAGGUGGUGUAAUUUCUUUUUAAUCCUUUUAUACAUAUAUAAUUUCUAGAGGAUUUAUUUGUUAAAUAUUAUGUCAUAUCUUAUAAACUUGUAAUCUAACUUGCUGCAACACUCAAUAUAGUCCUUUCCAUUAGGUAUAGAGCCCUUUAAACAAACCACUUAUUAUAAGAUUAGGACAAAUAAACCAACACCAAAUCAUUCAUAUUGAUGGAUGAUAUGAGAGUUGUAGUAUUAUUAUUAUCCCACUUGUAUGUGACUUAAGUAUUUAACAGACUCUACUUGAACCAGUAGAAAAAUACUCAUUAAAUAUUAAUUUCAAGAUUUAGCAUCAUUGGCAAUCAUAAAAACAAACUCAAAUUGAUUAGCAAUAUAUGCAUAACUAUAUAUGAGUUUAUAUAGUGAAGCAUUAAUAGAACUUUACACCCCAUAACAUAUGUGUACUAGAGAGAUAAUAAAUAAUCAUCCCAAUCUAAAUAUUAAAAGUUAUAUACUUUGCAAUUAUCCCCUUGAAGGUUUAAAUGAGCAAUUCUACCAAACUAUCUAUUUAUGGAUACUAAACACUCAUGAAAAUGUGGUAUAUCAACAGCCAAGACAUUAAGAUGUAAAUUACCUUAACCAUAAAUGCAAAACUAUUAUCUAAAAGAAUUCAUUUCAAACAAGAAUGCUAAAACAUUACUUAAUUAGAGAGGAAGUAUCUAAUAGCAAUUGUAAAUGCAUUAAUAAGAGCACAAACUUCCACCUAAGAAGUUAUGAGACCAGAAGCAAUAAUGACAUAUUCAUUAUUGGCAGUUAGUCAUAAAAAAAAUGUCACCAGCUCAAACAAAUAAAAAAUUACAAACACACAAAAAGGAGUGUUAUGAGUUUAGCACCAAAUAAAGUUAUACACAUACAAGAUGAUUAUAAAAAACAAAUUCCCUAAGAUGUUGUUAACUAUAAAAUUAAGAUCCAAAUAAUAAAAAGGUUUGAUUAGAUAUAUCUAGGGCUGGAUGUAUCUAGGACUUAAUAUAUCUGAGACCGAAUUCAAAACCAAGUUCAAAAUAUAGACAAAGAUUGAAUUCAAGACCAAAUAUAAAUAGAGGUCAACUAUAAAGGAUAAUAGCCCAAGAAUAAGAAUGUCCUUUUUUUUCCAAUCAGUUAAAUGUUUUGGGAUAUUUGGAGUUAAAUAUCAUUAAUUUUGCAUACUAUUGGGUUAAAUAACCUCUAAAACACUUGAGACCGAGUUUAAGUUUGAGUAUUGAGUUAAGUAACCUUUAAGAACAUUUCAGACCAAAUCCAAGAAGCAACUUUACAAUCCCUACUAUUUCUGUAGAUUUCAAUGUUAUUUCCUAACAUUAUAUAUUGCAUGUGUAAUUGCAAGUUUGUCUUGCCUUAAACCCUAGCCCUAGUAAGAAAUGGUUUUGAAAAAUUUAAAAUGCAAGUUUAAUUUAUCAAAUUAACAACUUUGUGAAUAAUAUUAUAUGGUUGAAAGACCAACCAAAUAUCUUCAAGAAGUAAGUCAAUAUUUUUGGUAUGUGAAGCCAAAAUGUUUCAAAAUUUCUAAUAGGUAAGAUAUAUUGUCGAAGUUGAUUGGAAGCAUAAUGCCAAGAAGCCUUAUAAAGUAAAUUGAGAUGAUGACCAAACUUCAAAUAGGUUUCACAAGGAAAACCAAUAUAGCUUUUUAUAAUAAAAUGCUAGUUUAACCUAAUUCACAAGUUUACCAAGUCUUAAUUAUAACCUUCCAAUAUUAUUAACUAUACAGAUUAACUUCUUAAUUGUAUAACAUAAGCCCAAUAUUGGUGUUUAAAAAUUUUGGUUUACUUAAGCCAACCUGUGUAGUAGUGGAUAUAGAAUAUGAUGGGAUAUUAUAAAAACUUAUUAUUAUUAUUAUUAUUAUUAUUAUUAUUAUUAUAUAAAAAAUAAUUUAUAAGAUUUCCUAAACACUUGUUAGAACAAGAAAAUAGUCAGUAAUAUACAGAUUCCAUCCACACAAAUGGUGGCCCCAGCAAGAAAUCAAACCAUACACAAAUGCUAGCUAUGGUUGAUACACAAUAAGAUUAAUCUGAAUGAUCAACAAAAGAACAUGUUAUUUUUGUUUAGGAUUAAUAAAUAGUCAAAUUUAUUAAUAAUUAUAAACAUGUUUAUAAUUUAUAAAUCAAGAUUAAUCUUUAUUAAAUGAUAGAAUAAUAUAAGAUUUAAAUAUGUUUAUAAACUAAAUUGAAUAACAACCAUUAGAUGGUAGAAUAUUCUAUGUUAUCUAUACAGCAAAUUAUAAAAAUAAGAUUAAUUUAAAUGUAUAUUAUAGAAUAUACUAGAACACCGUAGACGAAAAAAGCUCAGCAUAUUCACGCUUAAGGACCAGUUUGCUCUCACUUCAAAAAAGGAAGGGUAAGGAAUUAAAAAGACACGAACUUUUUAGACUUACUCCUGAAGAUGCUUGCUUGUUUCUCCGUCAACAAAGCAUAGAUGGAUUUCUCGUGGCAACCCAAGUAGACAGGACGCACUGGGCCAGGAAGCAUAUUGAGCAAUUCCACAUAGGGCGUGAUAUUCUCAGGCUCUGGAAUCAAGAACAAUUUGAGAUGAUGAUCUAGAUGUAUUUUGAGCGCAUCUACUAGGAGAAGCGCCACAAGCAAGAGAAAUAUAGACUUCCACAUAGUGCUGUUACGUUAGGAAAACGCGUGCCCCAAUAGGACUAAAAAUCUUCUAUUGAUAAUAGCUUAUUCUCCUUGUGUAAGAAGCUGCGUGAAUCAGAACCAGGGUCAACAAAAGAUUAAGGAAAUAAUUUUGUUUACUCUUCUCAACACGCUCCAUGUCACUUGCUCGGUGCAGGGCGGUGAUGUCAGUGAUCCAACAUAUCUCAAGAAUCGCUUGCCUCCAACAUUGAGCAGUGAGGGAUCCACCACUUGAACAUCUUGCUCGCCACUCAGCUCAAGUUACCAAAACGACGAAAAAAACUAAAGAUCUCUGUUUACCUGAUCGAUAAAAGGGUCGUACUCGGAUCCAAUCGUGUACAUGACAGCGACGGACAAGAUGCCCACGAGAUGCUUCUCAUUCACAGUGUCGCUGUGAACAUGGAUGUGAUACUCGCUACAAGGAUGAUAUGGAUUCAGGAGAUACAUACUGCUAUGUCGUGGUCGAGAUUGGUGAGUGGCAUUCGCUGGUUUGUAUCUCGUCUGGAGCAGCUUCAAAGAGCACAAUGUCCACCGGAGAUUGCAUUCUGCCACUGCUGCAAACCCUCCAUUCUUUUCCCAAGUUUCCCCAGUUUGCCUAGCUGCAGUCCCAUUCGAGUAGUCAUACUCCUCGGCUAGAAGAAAAGAAAACAAUAUGAUCGAUCAAUUUCGUUUGAAAACUAUAUACCUGCUUGUGUGAUGAUCAUGGCUUGUGCAGAAACUAAUAGCAAUAGUAUGAGAUUCUCUCCAUCUCUCCUAAACCCCAUUAACACUUUAGUCAGCCGUGAUCCGUGGAACGCGAAAAAAUCCUUUUGAGUUGUGAAUGUGGCACGGCCUUUGGCACGCGGGGUCCCCAAAAUAAAUAAAGCAUCAGCAUCAGAAUCUUAUGGGUUUUCUUCCUGCGCGUUGGGUGCUGGGCGCCUCUCAGGUACGUUUUUCUCCCCUCAUGGCGAGGAUUUGGGCGCUCUAAAAAGAAAUGCGAGCUGCACGGGUGUUCAUCCAGUGUCUCCUUUCUUCUCUUCUAGCCUGCCGAGAAUGGCCAGAUGCAUGCUGCCCCAGACGGGAUUCAACCGUAGACGAUGACAAGAGGUAAAGUUUAUUUCCUGUUUGUAGAUCAUUAGUUUUUUCCUAAAACUGUCUAGCCUAGGGUAUUUCCCAAUGCACCUGGUUUGUGUAGGCUUUUCAAUUUAGAGAAGCAUUGGUGUUUCUGAUGAAUCAAGUGUUGAGAGUGAGACUGUUGAGGAUAGAGAUAUUUUUUAGGUAAGUUAAAUUAUCCAUUAUCAUACUAAAUGUUAUUUGCAUAGGGAUUUGAAAAUUUCCUCCAGCUUUAGUAGAAGUCUAAUUAAUUUUGCCACUUAAAAUUCUCAAGACACUUACCUUGGAAUUUCAAGGCUGAUGCAAUAGAAGUAUAUGGCUCAUUGAUCCUAAUUGGAGGGGUGUAUAUAAUAAGAUGCCACUAGGAGAGUAUUGAAUCUUGUCUGGGCUAAUGUUUCUAUGAAUCAUGUUUGCAUAAACUAGGGGAUUAUCAACUCCCACUCCAACUGUAGAACCAUAGGAUAUUGUUUUAGUUGACAGUAAAUAUGGCAAACAUUAGCUAUACACAAUUUAGCUAGACUCCAACAAAGACACAUGACUAGAAUUCACUGACAAGUAUACUCAAAUGACAUGUUUUAUGCACUAUGCCAAAUGGAUUGAAGUUCAAUUUUAUAUUCUAUAAACUAACAUUAGUCACAAAAGUACUAGACAACAACAACAUGUCCACAUAAAUGUCUUCUUAAAUUGCAUGGUAUAGAGUUUAAUAAGAAUACAUGUAGGUUCUUGUUCAACUAGAAACAAUGGCUCAACAUAAGUGACAAAUACAACAAUGCUAAUACACUUGCAAGUAGAGAGGAUGUAUGAUUUGGUCUAUUUCACACAUAAGAGUUCAAAGCUAUAUUAGAUGCAACUACAAAGAUGGAGUUGAUAACCACAAAUGACCUAGACUCUGGUGCAAUGGUUUUGUUGGGAAGCUUUGGCAUUGGAAGCUACAGAAAUGAAGAUAUAGUUUCAAUGAUUGUUAGCUAUGCCAAACUUGUCUGGAUGGGUGGUGAGGUUUUUUUACAUCACAUGCUAAAUGACCAUGCCAUGCCACACUGAUGGGAGUGGCAACUAGUCCUAGCUGCUGCAGGGGUCCUCAAGGCUGACUUCAAGUGACUCUUCUGUAAUGGUGGCAUUUAGGAUGUUCUCACUAGGGCGAGAGGACAUGUUGGAGGAGACUGCAUCUUGGUACCGGGAAAGAAGAUGAGUUAAAAUUCCUACAUCGCUACACUUUCCCAUAUUGAAUAUAUUUGUUUGGCACCUAUGUAGGAACAAGGAUGUAAUUUAAAGUUUAAGGGACUUGUUUGAGAGAGCAGAAACACAGUAUAUAUAUUUCUUAGGUUUCCUCAUUGGCAAUAUGAUGCUUUGACUAUACAAAGAGGCACAAAGAUGGUUGCACAAUUCAAGGUUAAUGGUAUAACUCUAAUAUUAAUGUUGUUCCAAAUUGCCUUAAGAUGUGAAUUCACAUGUUUCUAGUUUUAGUUUUAACAGCACCUAAGGACAUCAAAGCUUAACAUUAUGUACACAACAGAACUUGGCAAUAGUUUUGUUUUGGAGGACCAAGCUAUGGAUGCCAGAGGCCUAAUGAAAAAUGUAUUGUGUGAAGCUCUUUAUCAAGUUCUAAGCAGUGCCAUGGUUUUCAUGCCUCACAUUUGCACUUAUGUUGUAGUCAAUUGGAAUGUUUGUGAUGGGAGAAGGUGGUGCCUAUUGACAUCCAAGGAUGUUGCCUAGUAUGACACGAUUGCAGGAGUGUUAUAAAAACUUUGUAAGUCUCUAUAGUCCUUUGUAAUGCUUUCUAACAAGGAUUCAAUGUGCAAGCAAUGUUCAUGGGUUGGUUUCUUUUCCAAGUGUUCAAGAACAAUGUCUAGGUAUCAUGGACUUGCACAAUAGCCAUGCUUGCAAUAGCAGCAAGGGAGAUGCCUGAGCAAGAUGACAAGAGAUUGUGUCAGGGCAAAGUAUUUGAAAUGGAUUUGAAAUCCACCUUAUUUGCUGUGUGGAACGCCAUGAACAUGCUCUGAGGGGUGACAAGUCAAGGCUCUAAACAGGUUCAGAAGGAGUCAGUGGAAACCAUUCUUAAGGACCUUACAAUUGUAUAUCUCAACUAACUCUUACAACCACAAUAACUAUGUUGACACCAUGGAAGAAUGCAUGUCUAUAGUAGUGUGGCAAGUGUUGUUUGACAAGCUAAAGUAAGUGGUAUACAUGUUAAAGGGCAAGUUUUGCUCACUCCAUGAUAAAGGGGGCACAGGAAAUACCCCACCAGAAAAGGAUUUUACUUGGUAUAUUGGCCAGCCUGGCACAGAUGCACUUCUUCAAGUUUUCCAGGUCUAUAUGAUCAUCUGGCUAGAACAAUUCAUUGAGUGCCCAUAAUUUAGCAACAAUAUAGAUGAGAACUUGCACACUUGAUCAAUUGGUUUGCAAGUGAUAAUCCUCCUAAUUUGAAAAUUGCUUCUUCUGCAGAAAUCAAUAGCAAAUGGCUCUCAAAAUUACACCACUUUGCAUGUGACUCCCUUGAAUUUAAGUUGAGUGAGCCAAUAUGGAUUUAGUGUUAUACAAUGAAUAACUAACUUGAUCGAUAUCUUAUAACUUAGACUUGCUUGAGGGAUAUAUUGUUCUUGUUAAACUACCCUAGCAAGGAGUGCACACAAGACUUGCUAUAUCAAUCGCUUUUUAACCCAGUCUUGUAUGGCAGAAAUGAUGAAUGUGAAUUUGAACUCUUAUAAAGUAAGAAAUUUAAAAUUGUCUAGAGUCUAAGUUCAUCAUGAGAAUAUUUUAUAUAUUCUAGCAGGCAUUUUAUUUUUCACUCGUUUCCUUUAGUAGACAAAGAUAUAUUCAUCAUGGCUUCUAAUAAAUCUUCUAAAAUGGGAUUUGCUUUAGGAACAAGAGUCACAAUCUUCUAAACCAUGUUUUCCUCUUUUAUUUGGGCUUGGUGCCAUAAUCAUGUGGAUGAAACUACAGGCCUAGGGCUUUUUUAUAGCCAGAUCUCUACUUCAUACAGUGAGUAAAAUCCCCUCUAAAGCACUAUGCAAUCUGAUAAACCCUUGACCUACUCCAUAGAAUGAGAGGGAGAAGGAUUGAUGGAGCUGUGUGAGACAAAAAUCAAUGUAGCAAAGUAUAGAAAAAAAUUAACAAUACUCAAACAACAUACAUAGAAUAGUUUUAGCCCAUUCUUGCUCACCUAAAAUCUUGGAUUUAUAAUUUUUCACUACAACAGUUAGUUUAAAUUUGCCAAAGUUUAACGUAUCUUUGAAGCUAUAAAAGAAAUUUUGGCAUUCAAGUUAAAUUUUUUAAUUUGCUAUUGCCAAGAACUCUCUGGUCCUUGGCUCUCUAUAGAUCAAUGACUACCACGGAAAUGAUGGGAAGCUCUACUUGACAGCGAAAGCAUGACUUUCAAAUACUCCAGUAUACAGUAUUUUCGUAAGUUACUGAAAUCCUCGGAAGUUCUCCUGGUACAUGCGGCGCUUUGCUGGUGUCCGUUUGUCUUGAAUGCAUGACGUUGAGCUUCUGAGGGAUCCAGCACCAGUUAACAAAAUUUUUUCUCAGUCACAAAUUUGACCGGCCUUAUUUGCCAAUGUGCUGUCUUUGAUGAUUUUGGCAAUGCAAGUCUGAGAUGCCUUAUCGACGCCGGCAAAGAAUCAAAGUAGGUUUAAAUUUACCGGGCAACACCACUAACAUUCAGGAGCGGAGGAGAGGCGAUGGACUGGGGCCUUUGAGACCAAGAGCUUUGCCGGAGUACUCUUCUCAUGAUGGGAAAAAUUAAAAUUCGAUAGAUUAACAAUUACCAGGCCAGCUAUUUGGCUCUCAUCUGGAAAAGAAAAGAGACUUUCUUCUCUGUCAACUCACCACUCGUUGUAAUGUUUUCAUAUAUGAAUCGAGAUCACUCCUUUUUGUCCUCAAUCUCAAACGGCCGGCCUAUUUCCCGGGAUGUUUCUCUGACCUGGAGAUUUGAAGCCGCCGGGCACUAUCUAUCUAGCCAUUGCCAGAUGAAUGUAGGGCAGAGAUCCACAACAGAAUGGUGCCACGGAAUGCACUACACCCCUGUUGCAUUGAAGUCCAACUUAAGCAUAGCAAAUUUAUUGUUAACCUAUGAGAUAAUCAAAUAAAUAAGGACGUCCAGCUGGGCUCCAAAAGACCCUGGCGCCCAGCUGGGGCAUAAGACGUCUUCAGAAAGCACAAGAGAGUCAAAAGAGCUUUUUCUGUAGGAGAACAAGCAAAACAAUAGUGAUAGGUUGAAUCGUAGUUAAUCUUGAAAAAUCUUAGAACAGCACAGCAUAUUCACUUUUAAGAAUCACAGGAACAUUUGCCCUCGCUUCAAAAAACGAUAAGGAAUUAAAAAACAAAAAUCAACUUUAAGACUUACUCCUCAAGAUGCUUGCUUGCUUUUCCGUAGAAGGAAUGGACGCGAUCCAGGUAGACAGGACGCACUGGGCCAGGAAGCCUAUUAAGCAAUUCCACAUAGAGCGUAAUAUUCUCGGGUUCUGGAAUCAGAUGGAUGUAUUUUGAGCUGGUUUGCAUCUACUAGGAGAAGCGCCACAAGCAAGAGAAAUAUUAAUUUCCACAUAGUGCUGUUGCUAGCUUAAAAAACCGCGUGCCCUAAUAGGACUAAAACGAAUCUUCUAUUUAUAAUAGCUUAUUCUUCUUCCAAGUAUCGAUCUGUUGUUAUCACCCUGUACACAGAAUGUUAGAAGUUGUUUAUUAGCGCGUGAAUUAAUUCUUACAUUGAGGGCAUUCAUCAAAAGCCGGUACUGGGUUUUCGAGAUCGUUCGUGGCUGCAACAUCAGAACCAUGGUCAGCGGAAAAGAAACAAAAGAUUAAGGAAAUAAUUUGUUUACUCUUCUCAACACGCUCCAUGUCACUUGCUCGGUGCAGGGUGGUGAUGUCAGUGAUCCAACAUAUCUGAAGAAUCGCUUGCUAUUUACCUGAUCGAUAAAAGGGUCGUCCUCGGAUCCAAUCGUGUACAUGACGGCGACGACUGCAAGCCUGUUGUCUUCACUCCUGUGGACGAGAUGCCCCUCGACUGCGAGAUGCUUCCCAUUCACAGUGUGCUCGCCGGGAGCAUGGAUGUGAUACUCGCUCACACUGUACAAGGUGCCAUCGAUGAUGAGCGAUCCCGAUGAAGAAUCGCCAAACUCGAGCUAAAGGCGAGUGUACUCAGCAGAUGGAUACAAAGUCUCGAAUAAAGUGCCGCUGUUCUGGACUAGAUCUAGGAAAUGCCAAUAGGAAUUUGGCCCUACCAUCACGAACGCUCCAUGUUUCGUCGGCCAAGUUUCUUUCGUGCCCAAGAAAAGGCCUCGAUUGCAACAUGCAGGAACGUCCCCAAGCCCGUGUAAAUGCAAUCGCUCACUCGUUUCCACCCUGGAGAAAGUGGAAGGGCCUGCUCAGUCAAUAGUAACUGUUGACUUUGGUCGUGCACGAGAGCGUAUGAAUGUGCUUUAUUUUUUCUCUUGUUGCGGCCUUCUGGACUGUGCCGCCAAAUAGGGAGAAACCAUAUUCUUCCUUUGGAAUUUCGUAUUUUGUUGGAAUACAUCCCUGCCUAUUAGUGUUUUUGUGUAGGCAGUAGCUUCUCUGCUUCAGAAAAGAUGAGCCGGUUUGGAGAAAUCAAACGCGGCAUCUGGCUAUAGAGAGAACGUUCCAUUCUAAAACUUUAUGUGUCACGAGGAAUUUUAUUCUGGAUGAUGAUGUCAGGUGACAAACAUAAACAGUUUGGCAUUUUCCUUGAACAUAUGCUUGCAGCCUCCUAGAACUGCGCUGCUCGAUCUACCAAUUCUCGUAAGGAAUGGGGCAUUCCGAGAAUUGAACUCGGGACCUCUCGCACCCUAAGCGAGAAUCAUACCACUAGACCAAAUGCCCAUUAGUCAGCGAAAUUUCCAUGUUUUCCGUACGGAUGAUUGAACAAAAAAAAAUGCAUCAGCAUCAGAAUAUUGUGGGGCGUUGCCCUCUCAGGUACGUUUUUGUCCCGAGGAUUUGGGCGCUCUAAAAUGAAAUGCGAGCUGCGCGGGUGUUCUUCACAGUGUUUCUCCUCUCUUCUCUUCUAGCCUGUCGAGAAUGGCGAGAUGCAUGGAGGAUUUGGGUGUUCCAUGGCGAGGAUUUAUGACGCGGGCGUUCUUCCACAGUGUUUCUCCCCUUCUCAGCAUGUCGAGGACGGCGAGACUGGCGAGCAUGGCGAAGCAAGACAUUAUGACGCGGGCUCCUGGGCCCGGCAUCUGGCGAGAGAUGGCACAGAAUGGCGACGAUUUGGGCGUCCUGGCCAUGGCGAGGCAGGCCAGGCGUUCUUGGGCGAAGAUCUGGGGGUUCUUCCAGUGUUUCUCCUCUUAUCGAGAACAACGAGUUGCAUGGCAAAUGGCAAGGACUUCGACGCUCUGAGCUUGAUUGUUUGGAGAUGGCGGUGAGCGAAGGGAGCCAAGAUCUCUCUUGGAAAUGGCAGAACAAAGCACUGUGAGGUUUCGGGUGUCUUCCCCGAAGACGUUGCAUUUGGAACGCGCCUUUCUUCUCGGCGUUGAAGAAACCGCAUUAGAACAAGGACCUUGGAGCGGGAACAGUUCAGAUGUCUGAUGGCGACUGACAUGGAUUACCGGGCUUUGACCGCGAGGGACAAACGCUCUGGGAACAACCGGCCAUUGACCCUGGCGACUGACAACAAGACUGGGAUCCUCUGACUUAUGAUCCCUUAGCCCAUAAAUACCUCACACAGCCAGCUCAGAGCAAGAGUUGUUGCAAUUCUUCUGGCCGGGAGUCGAGCCACUGGAGGCAGCCGUGAUCCAGUCGACCCAAGCUGCAACCUGUGAAGGAAAUCUAAAUACGUCUCACUUCUACAAAGCCAAAGGUACUCAGCAAGAAGAGAUACGUGAAUCCCACGCUGUCCGGCGACGACUCUUGUCAGUGUUGGCGAGUCGGAUAUAACGACCUCGUCUACCGUUCGUUCUUCCCGGUCAGAGCUCCGGGGUGAUCCAAAACGUAAGCAGCCACUUCUCUGAGAGCGGCAAUGGUCCCUCUCUUCAGUCCUUCGCCAUAUUGUGGACAGUGGCAGCCUCUCGGAUUGUUCCCGCCAAUCGAUUGAUCCAGCAUGAUGCAGUCCCGGGAGAGAAUAGCUUGGCAUUGAUCUCCCUGAGGAUUUCCAGCUCGAGAACGAGUGUUGGGUCGUUUCCUUUGUGGGGCUCGUCUCUUUGCUGCGAAUGGAUUUGUCGAGAAAGAGAGCGCUCGGUUGUGUGUGGAAAAAGCAUGGCCUCAGUCUGAGGGCUCUCUUUUUAUUUGGUGUGUUCAUCAUCCAUAGCAAGCUCUCUCUACAGAGCGUUUAUCAAUGGUGACUACCAUUGUACAAAGAGGGCUCUGAUCGAGAUUAGAGUCUGGGGUGGGCUGCCAGCCAGAGAUCCAAUCACGUGCCAACUACAUACUGUGGCAGGUUUUCUUGCCACGAUGUGGACCUCGGCAUCGUCUUCCAGGAGAGAGUCCUCGGUCAAUCAGACCUCUCAAGAUCUUCAUCCUACUGACUUUCACUCUCUCCUCCAGGUUUUGCUCUUGAAGAAACUACAUAACCACCUGCAACAAGAAUAUGUAAUGUAGAUCACAAAUGUCCAUCUUGGACCUUUCUUAGAGAGCUUGGAAGCUCCAAUUGCCACCCCAUUGGCUACACAGUUGGAGCCACAGGGAGACGAUCAACCUGCACAGCGGCCACGCUACUGAAUCCAAGAGAGUGAGUUUCACAAUUGGCUACGCUCAACUGGGAAUAAUGUCUCGGCCACAGUGCCUCUUACAAGCAGCCAACUCGGGAUUCCUGGUCCUGAUAAUGCACAGCCACAACGCCUACUGAAUGCACUGGAUCGUUUCUGCUCUCUCACUGGCCUAAACCUUGAGAACACUCAAAGUGGGAAAAGACGUCUUGGGUUACCCCGGUAUGGAAGUGAAGGCUCACUACAAAAACAUCAAGAGCUGGAUUAGCAUGAGGCUCCGACGAUCACCUGGCAGGCCUUCGUCGAGCAUCCUUUCAAACAACUCCCCGUGUCUUUCUCCAUGAGCGAGCUCCAAGUCACCACGAGCUUCCUCCUUGCCAGUGACUCGCAGGAUCGUCAAGGCAAGCGCACUUGCUGUAAAGACCCACAGAGAGCUCGCCACGUAAGUCCUGCCUUCCAGUCCAUGCCUGCAAAUCUUUGCAUGGAGCUCUUUGCCAGCUUCUAGCAUUGGCAGAGAAGGAAGAAGGCCAGGAAGUGAGAGAAGAGUUUGUGAAGCUAAGACAGCUUGAGCAAGGGAUGGCUGUUCACUCCCAGUCUGGUAGGGAUGUAUGCCGAGUGUGCAAGUCUGAGCUGGUUUUCAAUAGAAUGAGGUGUACUCUGGGCGGCACUUAUCCUGGGAUACGCCAGUGACGCAGUGAUCGCUCUAGAGCUCGUUGAAAUAAUGCUGUCCAGCGGAUGUCAGCCAAACUCUUGGACUUUCAUUGCGGCACUGGUCGCUUGUGAGCUUGUGCAGACCAUCAAAGCAGUGACGAAGCUUCUUGGGUCUGGUCCUUGCAAGUGAAAACACAGGCAUAGAGCCUCCUCGCUCUCUCUGUUUUGCACGUAAUCCAUCAUCAGUGCGUUCCACAGCACUAUGUCCGGAUGUAAGAUCUUCUCAAAGACUGCUCGAGCAUUAGCUUAGGCUCCCACAUGUCAUGCACAUGUCAACCAACAAAUUUGUCCGACUCAAAACCCACACUUGCAAGCCUGAUGGUGACGAGGCAUAUAGACAAGCUUUCCAUAGUACCUGUUGCUUCCUCUUCGGCUCCCAAGCUCAAGCAUGUCAUUGAAACGGCAAUGUAAGUCCCUUUGUGCUAGCCUCCAUCCUGCUAAACAGCUCUAGAGCUGACUCAUCAUCCCCAGACUCCACAUAUCCCUAUAUCACAGCGUUUCAUAGCAUCAUAUCUCAGUGCCGGUUGUUCUCAACUUGAGAGCCCACUGCAUCUGGAGUACAUGUCCAUCAGCGAGCUCACCACAGACAUUUCUGAUCCAAAUCCCAAACCCUUUGGGACAACCCAAACAAACUCUGAAGAACAAAGCGACAGCUCCAAGGAUCAGUCAGGAUCAGAAGGAGAAACUCCCAGCAAGAAACCGAAGCCAGCAUCUCAACAAUCAGGCUCAGCUCACUCUAGCAACACUAGCUCCAGCAACAAACACUCCAACGAUUCAACUCUACUUUGCCGCUGCCUCACACGCAACACACCAGCGAAUCCAGGUCGAAAGCUGCUGCUUUGAGAGCACCUCAUCAUCAGCGACAAUGAAGACAACUCACACCAGCUUCCACACUCACCCCAGCACUUGGAUCCACUCGAAUCAGCCCCAAAACUGACAACUUCUCACCAACAACUCAACAUCUCCAAAGGAAAACGUUAGCUGCUCACCUAGAACUCGGUUUCUCCACCAGCUGAGAACGUUAUUCUCACCGCCCCGACCCCCUUGACACGCUCCACGAAGGAAAACAUCAACUACCUUUGCCGAUCACUCACAGAACACAGAACCAUGCCUCCUCAAGCAAGUGGUGUGGUCGGUCCAGAUUCUUUGAGGUGGUUGGAGAUGAGCGUUUUGGAUUAAUGCUGGAUGAACGGCUCAGAUGUGGCACUGAAAUUAAUGUAUCAGUUGAACGGCCUAAAUCUUCCGCUUGAAAUUUUGUUGAAGGGGUGGAAUUUUUGCUGAUGCUGGUUGCAGCAUUUGCUGGAGGACGCAUGGUUGCGUGUUCUACGAGUGAUCAGCUAAGGUAUUCGAUGUUUUUUAUCGUGGAGCGUGUCAAGGGGCUGGGAUGGUGAGAAUGACGUUCUCAGAUGGUGGAGAAACCGAGUCCUGGGCUAUCAGCUGGCAUUUUCCUUUGGAGAUGUUGAGUUGUUGGUGAGAAGUUGCUGGUUUUGGGGCUAAUUCAAGUGGAUCUGGGUGCUGGGGUGAAUGUGGAAGCUGGUGUGAGUUGUUUUCAUUGUCGCUGAUGACGAGGUGCUCUCAGAGCAGCAGCUUUCAAGCUGGAUUCGCUGGUGUGUUGUGUGUGAGGCAGCGGCAAAGUAGAGUUGAAUCAUUGGAGUGUUUGCUGCUGGAGCUGGUGUUGCUGGAGUGAGCUGAGCCUGAUUGUUGAGAUGCUGGCUUCAGUUUCUCGCUGGGAGUUUCUCCUUCUGAUCCUGACUGAUCCUCGGAGCUGUCACUUUGUUCUUCAGAGUUUGUUUGGGUUGUCCACGGUUGCUUGUUGGGAAGAGCUUGGUGUAGAGCUACUAGCACUGGGAACAUUAAUGUCCGCAUGGUUUUCUUGUUCAGUGUGGUGAGGAUGGCACGGUCGAGAAGCUUGAGAAGGAGCUCAUGGAGAUGAUGAGCCACAUUCACACAUUCGCCAUUGAGUAGAGCUCCGUAGACCUGGAAACCUCCCCUAACACAUGCACGCCCAGGAGCAGCUACACUCACGACUGAAAGCCAGGUUCAAACGGCUACUAGUUUAUUUUCUCUAUUCUAGGCAUAUGCUGGCGGUUAGAACCGCCAACAGGAGAGUGGUUUUGAGAGACCCCAGCGCAACUAGGGUUCCCCAUCUCCUUUCCCAUUCCAUUGUACUUCAAGACUCCUGAAUCGCACCCCCCUAUUUGCAUUAUCUUUGACUUGAGUCUCUCUCCCCGCCGAUCCACCACUUCUUUCACCCCUCCUCAGCUGGCGACCUCUGGAGAUCAGGCGCCAGUUCUCAGAUUGAGUUCUAGCGGUAGCAGCAUUCUCAUCCAUCUCCGAAUUUUCCCAGUAAACAUUUGGCGACCACGGUGGGAUGGAUCGCUGAGAGAGAUCAAGGAACGAGAACCUGGUAACCAUUUGCAUUUUUCGAAAUUUUCUUGUUUGCAGAGAUUCAAGACCACUCUUUCUCUCCACAUCGAGUAUGCCACCACCAACAUGGGUACCCGGAACACGCCUCGCUGCAGCGACCACUAGAGGAAGAAAACUACACCAGCAAAUUUUCGAAGAAAUUAAAGAUCUUUCAACUAGACCUCCUAGCGCUCUAUCCGAAUGAGGAGAAGAAGACCUUUGCAAUCAACCCCAACAUCAGCACCGAACUCUUCACCGGCCAGCAUCGAGGAACCGACAGCAAACCCGAGCAUCUCCUCCGAGAUCUUCUCCGACCAGCAAUCUGAGAGCCCAACUCCGAAUUCGAGCAGAAGAACACCGGCUGCAAGCCAGAGAACUCGCCGGCAGAGCCUCCGAACUCUUCUCCGACAACAGCUCUGCUUUACCGACUAGACAAAAGAACAGCAAGAAUUCCGGCAACAGAUCUUCCCGACCAACGCUUCUUCCACACAUCAGCCGCACGUUCUCCUACGACGAGCCUCCGACACUCUAUCCCGGCAUCGGCCAAGUCACCGAAGGAAAGCUCCCGAAUGCACCAACAAUCUUCCGACAGACUCUCCGACUGAGCACCCAAACCAGCACUGAGGACAUCAUCCGACGACGACACGACGCUAAUCUCCACGCUGCCAAGACUCUGUUCGACCACGCCAUCGAGUACGCCGGCCUAGAGACCAUUGACGGCGAAAUUGGGUCUGAUCACCCCAACCAGUCCGACUAUCCAAAACUCUUCGUCGAGCUUCAUCUCGGCACCGGCACCUGGAAGACCAGCCUACACUCAGCACCUCGUCUCAACAAAUCGAUUGGAGACUCCACCGACAAGCCCAAGCCGAAGAAAGAAACGAAGAAGAAACUCCUGGAGUACGACUGCUACCCACUUCCGGACGAGUUUUCCUCUGAGCGCCCGAACACCAGCCCAGACGACUCAUCGCCACCCAGUUGAACUAUGAUCCUGCCCAACAAGAGUGGACCGACUAUGAGAAGUUCUACAGCAUAGUAACCCUUAGAAGAUUAUACAAUAGCUACUGCCGAAGACUAGCUUCGAAGCUCCAGGCCCGAAGAUAUUUCCGGAGCCUUAAGAUUAUCAUUGACACCGAUUCGACAUUCAGCCAGAUACCCGACAACAUCACCGACAACCAAGUCAAGAGUUUGAUGAAGACCUUCAUCCCCGAGAUACCAACAUCCAAGAUAGUUUUAGUGUACAAGAACCCACGGCCGAAAAGAGCCGCAUGAACAAGCCGAGGAAAGCAGCCAGCAAACAACAAGAAGACACCGAAAGACUUCAACGACACCUCCAGCGAGAGUUGAAGAGACUAGAGAAAGAGAGAAAAGAAAAUGCCACGCAGUGGUCCCACUUUGUACAAAGAGAAAGGUACAUUACUGAUGAAUUGUUUCCCAAAAUUGCAGCCGGCGAAGAUGCCGGAAGGAUUUUAGAAGGCUACCAGAAUUUUAGGACACCACCUGCUUCUCCGACUGCAGCACCGGAGAACCCACCAGAAACCCAGCCGGAAGUUCAGCACACUCCCCAGCACAGCUUCCACAACCCACUCUUCCGAGGACAAACCGACCCAAGAACUUAUUUCUCCUGGACUGUACCGACAGCUUCACCAGCAGUCCUCGGCACACUGUUUUCGACGCCAGUAUCAGCUUCUACCUCGACCACACCGUUCGCCUCCGCACCAGACUUCUACAACUUCCAGCAACAACCAGACUCCCCGACGCUCAACUCAGUCGAAUAUGGCCUCCGACCGAUAUACAUUGUUGACCCAGACGAUCGACCAGCACAUCACCAGCAAUACGAGUUCGGCCAAUCCUCCAAAUACACACUUGACCAACUUUUCGACCAGACGUUCAGCAGACCCCACCAACAACCAGAACCAGACAUCGAUCUUCAGCAACCGGACUUACAGGUAAUACUCCGACAAUCCUCUCCGGAGACCUUGCUGAAGCCUGCCGGAGAACAUCUGCUACCAUCAACAUCAACACUGCCACCACAGAACACUCCACUAACUACUUCGUCAAAUGUCCCGCCAAACACUCCACCAAACACUCUGCCACACAGUCUACCAGACAUUCCCCCAGACAUCAUCACCAUGACAAUGGUACUCCCUAACACGGUCAUCGGCAAGCUUGUCACCUACCCACAAUUCAAAGGGAAGAAGACCGAAGACCCAGAAAAGCACGUCAUUCGCUUCAAGGAGGCCGCCCGAGUCAACGGCCAGCAAGACAACCUCGCAUUCCUCUUCGGCUGCACCCUCAAAGGCCACGCCGGAGAAUGGCUCCAGACGACCGACCCGAAACUCACCUUCGACGAGCUUACCAAAGCCUUCACCGACCACUUCAAGUCAGCACUCAGCCAGUCAGAGAAGCUUCAGAAGAUACAGAACAUCAAAAUGCGUACUGGUGAAACUCUCGAAGAAUACACUGAACGCUUCACCAAACACGCCAACCGCUGCAAGAGCUCUUCUACUGACAUACUUUUAUACCAGUGGUACAUGUAGGGACUAGCUUCACACUUGAAGAAAGCUGCCACCAAAAUCGACACCAGCGAUUACAAGACUCUUUCCAAAGACUUGAAAGAAGUUCAAAUCCGCCAACAAACUGCCCGAGUUGAUGAACCGGAAGACUUUGACUCCGAGGAAGAUGAGGACGACCUCCUCGACAGCCUCACCAGCAAGUCCAAGGACAAAGUCGGCAUCCGAAAGAUCCAGAAGCUCCUCACCAAAUUCACUGCAUCCGGCAACAAAUCCGACGUCCGAACCGGCGUCUGGUGCACAAAAUGCAAGAAUGAAGGACACUCAGCCACUGACUGCAAACUCCAGAUCGUCANNNNNNNNNNNNNNNNNNNNNNNNNNNNNNNNNNNNNNNNNNNNNNNNNNNNNNNNNNNNNNNNNNNNNNNNNNNNNNNNNNNNNNNNNNNNNNNNNNNNNNNNNNNNNNNNNNNNNNNNNNNNNNNNNNNNNNNNNNNNNNNNNNNNNNNNNNNNNNNNNNNNNNNNNNNNNNNNNNNNNNNNNNNNNNNNNNNNNNNNNNNNNNNNNNNNNNNNNNNNNNNNNNNNNNNNNNNNNNNNNNNNNNNNNNNNNNNNNNNNNNNNNNNNNNNNNNNNNNNNNNNNNNNNNNNNNNNNNNNNNNNNNNNNNNNNNNNNNNNNNNNNNNNNNNNNNNNNNNNNNNNNNNNNNNNNNNNNNNNNNNNNNNNNNNNNNNNNNNNNNNNNNNNNNNNNNNNNNNNNNNNNNNNNNNNNNNNNNNNNNNNNNNNNNNNNNNNNNNNNNNNNNNNNNNNNNNNNNNNNNNNNNNNNNNNNNNNNNNNNNNNNNNNNNNNNNNNNNNNNNNNNNNNNNNNNNNNNNNNNNNNNNNNNNNNNNNNNNNNNNNNNNNNNNNNNNNNNNNNNNNNNNNNNNNNNNNNNNNNNNNNNNNNNNNNNNNNNNNNNNNNNNNNNNNNNNNNNNNNNNNNNNNNNNNNNNNNNNNNNNNNNNNNNNNNNNNNNNNNNNNNNNNNNNNNNNNNNNNNNNNNNNNNNNNNNNNNNNNNNNNNNNNNNNNNNNNNNNNNNNNNNNNNNNNNNNNNNNNNNNNNNNNNNNNNNNNNNNNNNNNNNNNNNNNNNNNNNNNNNNNNNNNNNNNNNNNNNNNNNNNNNNNNNNNNNNNNNNNNNNNNNNNNNNNNNNNNNNNNNNNNNNNNNNNNNNNNNNNNNNNNNNNNNNNNNNNNNNNNNNNNNNNNNNNNNNNNNNNNNNNNNNNNNNNNNNNNNNNNNUAUCUCGUCACCAACUGGUAAGUCUGACUAACCCUCCGGACACACCUCCAACGCACGCCCCAGCACUGAAUACCAACAAGGACACUGUCGAUGCCUUUCAAGCUGAGAUACAACCCGGAGAUUGCGACAAUGAAGUUCCAACCAUCGACCUCCGAAUCGGCCGACACCAAGUCCGAGGAGCCAUGCUUGACGGCGGCUCUGGCGUCAACAUCAUCGACGAGAGUCUCGUCAGACAAAUCAACCUUGGUCCAGUUGAGCCAGCACCGUUUAACAUCCGAAUGGCCGACCACCGAUCAGUCCGACCCCAAGGAAUUAUCCGGAAUGUCAUCACCAAUAUCAGAGGCAUCAGAGUUCCAGUCAACUAUGUCAUCCUCAAGCUUCCGAAGGACUCCGACGGCUACGCAGUCCUCCUCGGACGCCCGUGGCUCAAACACGCUCGAGCAAUGCACAACUGGUCGACCAACCAGAUCUUCCUCCAAGGCCCGCAAGGUCCAGUAACAGUCUCGACAAACUCGUCGAAACACCUUCUGACGAACAUCCGACCGGUUGACCUCGAAGACUAUGACCUCAAAACCGGCCUCGACGACUAUGAAGAACAGCAAAUACUCCAAGCCUACCCCAACCUCGAACCCCUCGCCGAAAUCGACAUCUUUAGAGUAGCAGCCGACUUCAGCCGAGAGCGACCCCAGCUUACCGAAGCAUUGAAGAACCCGACAACCAGAGACACUACCAUCGCCACUCAGCCAGGAUUCAUUGUCGACUCCGACCAGAAAGUCGCCUAUGUCCCGACAAUACCGACCAACCAACCUCUCGAGAAGAUCAACCUUGCAACCGACCAGAAUCAGCAUCACAUCAUCCUCGCCAAAGACAUCUCUGAGAGUUUCCGGAACAAAGGCCUGAGACUCCUCCAGAAGAAAAAGCACUUGUUUGCUUGGAGCUACAAAGACCUGAAAGGAGUCUCACCAGACUUAUGUCUGCACACCAUCACCCUCCUCCCGGAUGCCCGGCCGAAGCGACAGGCACCUUACCGGAUGAACCCAAACCUCAUGGAGCAAGUCAAGAAGGAGCUCAACAAACUCCUCGAGGUCGAAUACAUCUACCCGAUCUAGAAUCCGAUCUGGUUGUCUCCUCUGGUCGUUGUGCCGAAGAAAAACGGCAAGCUCCGAAUCUGCGUCAACUACAAGCAGCUCAACGACGUCACCAACAAAGAUAUCUUCCCGAUACCCUUCACCGAUGAAGUUCUUGACACAGUCGCCGGACACGAAAUGUACUCCUUCCUCGACGGAUUUUCCGGCUACAAUCAGAUCACCAUCGCCCAAGAAGACCAGCACAAGACAGUAUUCAUCAGCCCAUGGGGAGCAUACGCCUACCGAAGAAUGCCUUUCGGCCUCUGCAAUGCACCCUUCACUUUCCAGCGACUCGUCACCAACACCUUCCGAGACUACCUCACUGACUUCAUGUGAGUCUUCAUGGACGACUUCAGUGUCUUCAGCUCCGAAGACCGCCAUCUCGAAUGCCUCGAGAAAUGCCUCGAGAAGUGCGAAGAAAACAACAUCGCCCUCAACCCCGAGAAAUGCGCCUUCUUCGUCAAGUCCGGAGUACUUCUCGGCCACAUUGUCUGCAAAGACGGCAUACUCAUCGACAAAGACAAAGUCGAAGUCAUACUUCAGCUCGACCCGCCAAAGAACCAAAAGGACCUCCGAAGAUUUCUCGGCAAGAUCGGAUACCACCGAAGAUUCAUCCACAAGUACGCCGACAUCGCCAAACCUCUCACCGACGGCCUUCGGCUUGACGCCCAGUGGAUCUGGUCGGACACUCAGCAGACAGCAUUUGACAACCUCAAGCUCAAGCUCACUACCGCACCAAUACUCGCCAAACCAGACUGGACCAAAGAGUUCCAUAUCCACGUCGACACCUCUGACAUCGGCACCGGCACAGUGCUUAGCCAAGCCCAGAGAGACAACCGAGACCAGCCGAUUUACUACGCAAGCAGACUACUCACCUCGAAACGAACGCAACUACACCACCACCGAGAAAGAAGCCCUCGGCAUGGUAUACGCCCUCCAGAAGUUUCGGCACUACAUUCUUUCGAGCAAAGUCAUCAUCUUUGUUGACCACAAGGCCCUCCUUUACCUCAUCAACAAGCCCAUACUCUCCGGCCGAAUUUCCAGAUGGUUCCUUCUACUCCAAGAGUACAACUUUGAAAUUGUCCACAAGCCCGGCCGACAGCAUGAACAGGCCGACUUCCUCAGCCGCAUCACCACCGGAGAAUCGCCCGAUCAACUCGCCGAUGAUUUGCCCAACUCCAACCUUUUCCGAAUUUCAGUACCAGCAACAUGGCUCGACGACAUCUUCGCCUACCUCAGCUCAGCAAAAGUCCCAGCUCAGCAUACAAUGCCAGACCAGAGAAAGAAUUUUGUCUCGAAAACCCGCCGGUACUCCAUCAUCGGCGGCAGCCUUUACAAACUCGGCAUCGACAACAUACUUAGACGAUGCAUCAAAGUUCCAGAGACCCUCAGGAUUAUAAACGAAGCACAUUCUGGACCGUCCGGCGGCCACUUCACCUCCGACACAACCGUCCGGAAGAUUCUCCAGUCAGGACUCUGGUGGCCGACAAUGUGGCGAGACACCGAAGACUUCUGCCGGAAAUGCGACACCUGCCAGAGGAAUCGACUUCCGCUGAAAACUCAGAGUCAACCGCUCAACCCAACCUUCCCGGUCACGCCUUUCCAGAGAUGGGGACUCGACUUCGUCGGACCCCAAAUCACCACAGCCCGGAAGAACCAGUACAUCAUUGUCGCCACCGACUACGCCACCAAAUGGGCCGAAGCAGCUCCACUCAAGCAAGCAACCGCCAAGGCAACAGCCAAGUUCAUCUACGAGAACAUCAUUACCCGCUUCGGAACACCACUCGAACUCGUCACCGACCGUGGCAGCCACUUCAUCAAUGAAACCAUCGGACACCUUACCGAAGAGUUCCAGAUCUGACACAAAACAUCAACGCCCUACUACCCGCAAGGCAAUGGCCAAGCUGAAGCCACCAACAAGACGCUCAAGACAAUUCUCAAGAAAGUCAUCAGUGAUUCCGGCAAAGAUUGGGACGAGAAACUCGGAGACGUUCUCUGGGCCUACCGGACAGCAUACAAGAUCACCACCGACAUGACACCGUUCAAGCUCGCCUUUGGAAUAGAAGCCAUAACACCAAUCGAGUUCAUCAUUCCCAGCAUGCGUGUCGCGGUGAAGUACGACCUGGAUCCCCGGCACAUCUUCCGGCAACGACUGCUCGAACUCGAGAAACUCGACGAGCUCUGACUCAACGCCUUGUGGACCCUCCACACCAUCCAGAAGCAAAGAAAAGCCAGGCACGACCGAAGACUCGCUCGAAACAAAACUCCGAAGUACUCUCCCGGCGAUCAUGUACUCUGGUAUCGAGGACCAAUCACUCAGCUCGGCAACAAGCUCAAAACCAAGUGGCAAGGACCUUUCAUCAUCACCGAACUCUACCCGAACUCGACAGCGAACGUCGCCACCCUCGCUAGAGACUUCACCGAAACUGUCAACCUCAACAAACUCCGACCAUACUACGUCGACCUCUGCAACAUCCAGACCACCUUUCAGCAACACUUCCGACCGCAACUCGUCACCGGAACCAAGAGAUUCCCCAAACACUCUCCCGGCCACUCGAACCGAACACUCGACACCAGCCGUCCGUAUCGAGAAGCAACACUAGAUGAUACCACAAUGAGCAUCAUCGACAAUCAGCAAGCCUCAUGGUAUCAACAAUGGCCAACACGCUACUCAGAAACCAUCCCCGACAACUUCUCCUGGACAACCCUCCAGUCGCCACUCAACUCGGCACAAAAUGCUGAGUUCCAAGCUACCGUCCGAUCAACUCCACGAGAUCAGAUCUGCACCGUCCAACAAUGCUCAAUCUUAGCCGCCAGAUCAUCAUCUCCACAACAGAUCACAGCCCUCAGAUCUUGCCACGCAAUCGCCACCGUUCAAACUAAACCCCACCAAGUUUCAUGGGACACAAACCUAAGUCGCCAACAGCAGCUCGCCAGCACCCUUUCCAGCGCGCCACCAGCUCCAGCAACGAUGCCCAAGCGCAAGAUGAGAGCCAUUCCCCCAAGACGCCUCAGGUAUGUCCGCCACAGCUUGCCCAAGCUUCCGACCGAGGCAGUCACGGCAUGGCUGGUCGAGCAGGGGUUCGGCCAGCUCCUCGAGAUCUUCAAAACCCCAUUCGAUCACCACCUCGCCCGCAAGCUCGCCAAGAAGUAUGACGAGAGCCGCAACACGAUCUCAGAUGACGUCAACAACAUCGCCAUCACGCCGGCCCUGCUCAGCAAAGUUUUCAAGAUCCCUCGAAAAGGACUCGACAAGUUCCCCAAAGAGGUUCCCAAGGUCAUCCUCAAGCCAGGCGCAUCCCCAACCACAGAAGGGCCCAAGUGGGAACACCAGGAGAAGCUGCGCGCCCUGCUCCUCCUCUACGACCUCCGUCCCACUGACAAAUCUAUCAGCAAGCUUACCACCCAAGCCUAUCACGCCAUGGACCGAGGAGAGCGAGUCAACGUCACCAGCCACCUGAACACUAUGCUGGCGAAGCAACUGAAGAAAAUCAAUGAGAAACCUACGAGAGGCCAAACCAUCUCCACCGUGAUCUUCCCGAUGCUCAUCGCUUUGCACGCCGCCCACCCCGACAAGCAGCCCUGGUCUACCAGCUCCUCGACUGAACACAGCCAUGCUGACGACGACGACUCAGCAUCGAUCGAGACCCUGCCCUCACCACCGCACAAGAAGAAAGCCCAACCCUCCUCAUCGAAGCAUCAUCCACCACCCAGCCCCACCCCCAGCAAGACCAGCAGCGAAGACACCUCAUCCGACGAAGAAUCUCCACCACCUUGCCGCCAUAAGCUUCGUCAAACUCCUCAACGUAAGAACUGCCACCGCAGCACGGAGUACGUUGUCCUCACCAACAGGGACACCACAAACACCACAGAACCCCGCCAGCACCAGCACCAAUCAAUUCCAAGCCGACCCCGAGCUCGUUCACCUUCUCCAACACCAAUCUUCAACAACUCAGAAGCUUUCACUGGCGACCAGCACCACGACAACAACGAUUCCCAUCACCCAGACAAUAUCACCGCCAGCAACAGCAAGAUCUCCAGCGGGCACGUCAACUCCGGCAACGUUAAACCUCUCCAUCCAUCAGCAGCACAUCCGACUCUCAACACCACAGCAGAUGCCCCGUUGAACUUCAGCAAAAAUCCGAGCUCUUCAUCAAAUAUUACAGUGCCUCAUCUCGACCGUCCAUCUUCAACGACCAUAAUUAAAUUCGCGCCAACUCAGCACUGUCAAAUCUUAACAAACUUGACAGAUCAGCGCAGUCCAUCUGCAUCCGCUCAGCAUCAGCCACCUCAGCAGCAAUCAACGCCCCAAAUCACACCGGCCGACCCCAUCAAGAACCCAGCUCCCGACUCAGUUUCAGCGCCCUACGGCUCGCCUUCAGCGCCUUCUCCACCAGUCCAAGCAUCUCAGCCGCACCAGCAAUCCACCAUGCCUCCACUCCAGUCCCAGGUACGCAAAGACAGAACCUCCUUCGACCACGAAAUCCGCCAAGAACACGAAGACAAGAUGCAAGAUCCCGGAUACCUCCAUCGCAAGCUCUUCGAGGCUCUGGAGCGCCGCGCCAGUCAUGACAUCAGCCAGGCCAUCCGAGGCCACGUUCCCCAGGCUCAGGACAUCGGCCAGCACCUCUCCCGCAAUGGCGCCUUCAUCAACACCAGGAACGCAGUCCGUGCUGAGUUCUACGAGCCGCUCGUCACGGAGAUCAGCAAUCUCCACAACACCAUUCACCACCUCCAGGGCGACAUCCAGAGCAUCAAGACAACGGCCGCCAUCUCUUCUCGCGCCAACAACAACCCCACUGGCCAGCAGAACUACUGGCGAGACAAGUACCACCACGGAGUCACCGUCAUCCAGGAGCACCAGCAGCGCAUUGACCAUCUUGAAGCGCUCCUCGCCGAGUAUGAGGAUGAUGAUGGCUCAGACCCACCCGACAGUGAGCCCAACGAUAACCUGACCCUCCCCCAGCAGCGCCACCGACUGCGACGCCUGCAGCGAGCUCUGGAAGCGAACCACCUCCACCACCAAGCAAUGGACACUGAUCAUGGCCCCGAGGACGGAGCCUAGAUCAAGCAUGGGGCAGUGGAAACCUCCCCUAACACAUGCACGCCCAGGAGCAGCUACACUCACGACUGAAAGCCAGGUUCAAACGGCUACUAGUUUAUUUUCUCUAUUCUAGGCAUAUGCUGGCGGUUAGAACUGCCAACAGGAGAGUGGUUUUGAGAGACCCCAGCGCAGCUAGGGUUCCCCAUCUCCUUUCCCAUUCCAUUGUACUUCAAGACUCCUGAAUCGCACCCCCCUAUUUGCAUUAUCUUUGACUUGAGUCUCUCUCCCCGCCGAUCCACCACUUCUUUCACCCCUCCUCAGCUGGCGACCUCUGGAGAUCAGGCGCCAGUUCUCAGAUUGAGUUCUAGCGGUAGCAGCAUUCUCUUCCAUCUCCGAAUUUUCCCAGUAAACAAGACCUUUCCUAUGCACUUGCCGAUGGUGCGAUCCAUUGGGCAAAGUUCGUAGUAGAGGAGGAGGGCUUUGAGGUGAUCCAUAUGCUGCUCCUUGAUGUCCUCCCAUGUGAGCUCACUGGUAAUCUCUAGAUUCGCCUUGAUGAUUUGCUGUGGAACUUCUCCUGAGAAUUUGAGCAAUCCCUUGUUGGAGAUUUUGAAAAUGGAAGUGAUUCUUGCUGGGCUAAGGGUGAUCUCAUUGCCACUGUCGGUUAUGGUGCUGUUCUUGGGGUUGAAGGAGGUGGCCAGCUUCCUCACCAGCUUUUGGUCAGGGUGUGCCAAAAAGGCCUUGUGGAGGAGCUCAAAUCCACGGUCCUUGAGCCAGGCAGUUGUGUCGUUGCUAGGGAAGCCUAGGAAUAUGGUGCAUGAUGUACUUGAGGCGCCGGGGUGGAUGAGCUUGCAUCAUUUUCUGUGAUCGAAGUGCUUGCCUCAUUAGGGUUUCUGAGACCCGUAACUUUUGGUUGGCCGAUCAUAUUCUUGGUGAUGAACAGUAGAGAUUUGUUGACCGAAUGACUUGGCUUAAUUGAAGAUUAAUGGUGGAGAUUACUGAUGAAGUUAACUUAAGUUCAACUGCUGAGGUGGCAUUGAUCUAACAGUAGAUUUGGACUUAGAGAUGUUGUUUGUUGCUGCUGUUUGUGGUUGAGUUGAGUGGAGUUGUGUUGAACUGAGUUGAGUUAAAGUUUGUCUGUUGGGGUGAUUGUUGACUAUUGGUUUCAGGGUGUCAUCUAGUCAAUAGCUCUGAGAAUGCCUUGAAGAGGCUAGUUAUGCAUAAUCAAUACUCAGCCGAAACUAAAGUGAAGAUCAUGAGAUGGACUCAUAUCAGUACACAACCUUCUCAUAGACAAAGUUAUAAUACGGGUACAACCUUAAAUAACUAAGUUGGACAUCAUCAUUUUUAGCCAAGGCGCAAGGCUACCAAAACUAAGUCAAGAGCUCACUACUCUCAUAGAGUUUAACAAAAUACAAGGUGUUAAACUCAUAGAGUUUAACAAAACUUGCUACCGAGCAUAAUGCUAUAGAAAAAAGCCAUAAGGGUCUUUUCUACAUUAACUCCAAACUCUAUCCAACUCAAUUGCAUUAGCCCUAAAAGUUAACAUCCUUUUCAGGCUGCAUCAUAUAAACUACAUACUAAGUUGUAAGCUAAUUGAAGUCAAUUCCAACCCUUGCACUAAUUUGUACUGGCUUAUAAAAACAUGGUUUUUAAACAAGUGAUCAACAGAUCAAUCAUUGGAAAAGCUUAAAAAAAAUUGUGGAAAAAUUUUCUAUCAUAGAGAAAGAAUGACUCUCAGUUCAAAAAUGCAAACUUUCAAGACUCAGCCAACUUCCUCCUACCUACAAUUUCACAUAGGUUCACCUCAACACAAAUUCUCAAGACCCAUAGUAUAUUUAAGCUUUGAAUAUCAUGCCCAUAUUUCUGAUAUCCAACAUUGACAUCCGCAAAAAUGCAAAAUGAACAUCUAAGGCUUGAUCAUGAAGACCAUAUCUUUGAAUAUCUGCAUUGCACUAACACUUUUCUUAAACCACUUUCAAGAUCCAAUAUGAAGCCAAAACAUUAAUAAAAAAAAUGACAUGGAAAAUCAAACUCUAAAGAAAAUUCCUCAUCACCCGAAACAACAAUACCACUUUCUCCAACACAAGUGUUAGCAAUGUCAAUGUUGCAACUACACACAUUUUUUAUUCAAUAAUUUACUCCAAGUGCUAAUGGCUCAACUGACAAGCUAUAGCAAGUGAAUGCUAUAACCUUUUCCAACACAUUAUGGGCAAUUUCCCUAGGAAAUAAAGUACUAACUUAAGCUUAGCAUAAUAACUAUCGAGAAUCCAGUCAAAGCUACUAUAAUGCUACUUUGUGUAAGUAGACUAACUUCACUAUCAACCACUUUGGGGUUGAUUAUCAUUUGACCAAGCAACUUCAUAAACACAUUACUCAGUAUCACAUGGAUAUGAUAUAAAUAUCACAAUGACUUGAUUAUUAAUUGAGCAACACCAAGAGUAAUACCCAUGUCAUUACUUCAAAGGUUUAUAUGAGUAUCAAAUAUUAACCCAAUUUGAUAAAAUGCAACACAAAUGCCACACCCCACUGAUACAAAUUUACAACAUUUAACACCACUAACUUUUGUUCACAAUACAAACAAGCUCAUACCACUCUCUUUUUGACCAAACUCAAAACUUAUCCAACACCAAGCUACUCAAAGAGCAAUAGCAAAGUUCUCUGAAAAAGAAUUGAACAUUGUAACCCAAGCUUUCCAAUAGCAAGCCUUGACAAAAAUAAUAUAGCAUUUCACCGCUAUCCAUCCCGCAACUCACCAUUUGUAAGACCAUCAUUUCCAAUAUGUAUCAAGGUAGGGACUCUUCAUUGCAUAAUGUGAACACGAGCAAUGAAUCACAUCUCGUUGCAAAUUAUCUCUCCAAGAAAAGAAGAUGAUUUAUGUGUUUGAUCCUUCGUCCCUGAUAACUCUCUUUUCGGUCUUAUCUUUUGACCAAACCUCAAACUUGCUUUUGCAUUGCCUUCAAUACAAUCCAAGAAAAUUUUAUGAGAGAGCACAGCAAUAAUUACUUGAAUCAAUAGAUUUAUCCCUAUAAUCUUGAUUGAUCCACUUAUAAUCAUGCCUAGGAAGGAUCCACUAGUGCUGUGCUAAACAGGUAUGGACCAGUUUAUUUGCCAUUCAUAGCAAACCCAAGGAAAGUUUACUUUCACCCAUGGUACAAGGAACAACUCAUGGAACCAUCGAUAGGUUAACAUCAAUUCUGCCAACUCAAAAAGUAACCUCGAGUUGCUAAUGUGCCUCACUCACAAGCCCAAGUGCAAACUUAUGUAAAAUGGUACAACUUAUUCCAUCCUAUGAGCCCAAGAGCAAGCUCAUACAAUAUGGUAUAAAAGGUAACCAAAAUCCAUACCCAAGGAACGAUUGCGAAGCCUUUACACCCAAACGUGUACUCACUCGGAUCAUCGUUUUCAUCUCUGCGUAUGCAAUGAGACUAGUUGCCCAAUCUUAUUGGAUAGUAUUUGCCAAGACUCAUCCUCUGAUACCAAAUAUAACACACAUGCUUUUUACCAUUUAUCCUAUGGUGAUUUACCAUAGGAUAACCACGAAGGGGAACUUAAACUCUCCAUAUGCCACAUAUCAUAUGCCACAUAUCACAUGCCACAUGUUCAAAAGACAGUGGUAUGGAAUCCGAGUUUUAGGGCCUUGUGCCACUGAAUGAAGGAAUGGUGCUAAACUCCCAAGUAUGGAGCCAAGGAGCAAUGGCACUAGAGCACGGAACAACUCUCGAACAUAUAGCCCAAGGAGUGAAAGGACAGGAGUACAAAGCAACUUGGAUCAAUCCUAGAGCAACCAACAUCCUAAUGCCAAAACCAGCACGCAAAACAGAGCCAAACAGAGUCUGGUGCUAUUUCAACAUACUGAUGGUCUAACGUAAGGAUAUGAGCACUCCACUAGCUAGCAUGGAGUGGAACUUGGGUUUAGACCCAAGCUAAAUGCAAAACAAAGAUAGGCACGCAAGUAGGAGCUAGACUAUGCCUCAAAUUAGUCAGCCAUGCCUAAUUUACCCUUUAUCCCUACUAUAGAUUUGGAACUUUGCAUAACCCUCGCCCCCCCGAGAAACACACACUUUGGGCUUUCACCCCAAGCCUCCCUUAGUACCAGGAGUUAGUCUUUGGGACAAACUUGAAACUUACUAAAUAUGGAAUGUCUCUAAAUUAUGAAUUUGGAUAUGAGAUGAAUACCAUUAUGUUCAAAACAAUUUUUACAUUCUAUAGAUAUGCCAAAUAAGCAAAUCUAGACACUUUCCAUAAAUAGCAUUUAGGACCAGAAUGAUACUAACACAAAGGGCAUGAUAGCGAGGGUGUUUGGCAAGCACGGUAAGCUAUUAUGUAGCAAUAUAACUAGUCUCAAUACGCGAGGGUUCUUGUCACUAGCCAGUGCAAGACACAACGAGACAGGAACUCCUUACUAGGCUAAGUAUGUUUAGCUAAUAGCAUGUAAGAAUUCCGUCCUUAUGCUCAUCCGGUCUAAGUACACUCAAAAUGCCUAGUUAACUCCACUAGCACAAAAGGGAUUAAUAAAGGGUCCAGCAAUACUGACUUCUUACUAUUGUGGCAAUAAAAAAAGAGUGUUUAUAAGGACUGGCUGACAAGUAACUUUCGAUACUCGAAGUCACAUUUGCGACACUUCCCUAACAACUUCUAACAAAUGGAACAAUGACCAUAAAAAACUCAAAAAACCAAAGCUCGAAGAAGUUUAUAGCCAAGUUGUGCAUAACAAUGAUCACGAAUCUUACAUGAAUUAAUUUCAAUGCUAAAGAAGAAAUCAUAGGACAAUCCAUAAUAUCCUCCUUAACACAUCCAUAAGUUAAACUUUAUAAUGCCAAAACUAAUGAAGAGCAUAUCUGUAUCAAUCCAAAAGUUAAGCAUAACGAAACUAUACUUAACAAGUGAUCAUUAAACAAUCUUCCAUGAAUCCAUCUAUAGCAAGAUGUAACUCACUUCAUAAUAAGCACAAAAGAAAUUAUCAAUGAUUGAUAUAUCCCCAACUCAAAUUCAAAAAAGGAUUUAAACAUUUCAAUAUCGAUCACUAACUCUUCCUUUUGUAAUGUUAGUAUAGUCCAUGACUAAUCACUUUCAAGGAAAAGCCAAAGCUCAACCCCUACUAAGCAAUCUCAUCUAAAACACAACUAACUCAACUUGCCAUUUAGUUCAUUUGAACAUCAAUACAAUUGCUAACUAGUAAAUGCAUGGAUACCAAUAACACAAAGCUACAACCUAAGUAUCAACAUUAUUUGCAUCGAAACUAAUGAAAUUUAAUAUCAAUCUUAUGGAGAGAUAUUUCACUUCACUCAAAUCUUAACAUCAACAAUGUCAACGAUAAGGCACCACUUCAAUGCCAUCAACACCAAAACAAAGCUAGAAGAAAGCAAAAGUGAAUAGCCACUCAAAGCUUUCUAGCAAUCAAACUAACUAAAGUCAAAGAUACUAUACUUAGUAUUUGAGACUAGUUCUUCAACAAUACUUAGCUACAGAUAACGCAUCAUCAAGAAGUGAAUCACCACAUCCAAGACUUAAUGAAAUCAAAUACCACAGACUAAACAUAACCAAAUGAUAUCGACAGAGGUAGAGUCAACAUACCAAUAUGGAAAAACCAUAUAAGUCUAACGACACAAUCCUCCGCAACACCAUCCAGUAAGCAAGUUUAUCAUUGCUAGAUUAUCAUCUAACAAAGCAAGUAUUAAUAAUCCUUUGAUAAAGUCUACAAGUAAUCACUAGUCACAAAGCAACUAAUAAUCACUCGUCAAUUUACCUUUUAUAAGACCCAAACAUUAAACUUAUGUCAUCGAGUUAUAUACUUGCCCAACAUAAAUGUAAUACCCCAGGUACGAGAUAAAACUUCAUGGACAGACAUAAACUAAAUGACUACUCGAAUCCAACUCAACUGCAAUAAGCUCACCAAUACGUUUAAUCAAUAGCUCUGAGCAUGCCUUGAAGAGGCUAGUUAUGCAUAAUCAACACUCAGUCGAAACUAAAGUGAAGACCAUGAGAUGGACUCAUAUUGGUACACAACCUUCUCAUAGACAAAGCUAUAGUAUGGGUACUAACAUUUUAACCUUAAACAACUAAGUUGGACAUCAUCAUCCUCAGCCAAGUGCAAGGCUACCAAAACUAAGUUAAGAUCAGUGAGAGCUCACUACUCUCAUAGGGUCACCUUUCUUAAAAAAAAAUGCAACGGCCACUUUUCUACACCAACUCCAGACUUUAUCCCACUCAAUUGCUUUAGCCCCAAAAGUUAGCAUUCUUUUCAAGUCGCAUAUAAACUACGUAUUAAAAUUUAAGCCAAUCGAAGUCAAUUCCAACCCUUUCACUAGUUUAUACUAGUUUACAAAAAUGGAAAGGUUUUUGAGCAAAGUGAUCAACAAAUCAACCAUUGGAAAAGCCUAAAAAAAUUUAUGGAAAAUUUUCCAUCCUAGAGAAAGAAUUACCCUCAAUCCAGGAAUGCAAACUUUCAAGACUCAACCAACUUCCUCCUACUAACAACUUCACAUAGUUUCACCUUAAUACAAAUUCUCAAGACCCAUAGUAUACUUAAGUUUCAAACAUCAUACCCAUAUUUUUUAUAUCCAAGACUAACAUCCGCAAAAAUGCAAAAUGAACAUCCAAGGCUUAAUCACAAAGACCAUAUUUUCGGAUACCCACAUUGCAUUAACACUCUUUUUUAACCACCUUCAAAAUCCAAUGUAAAGCCAAAACACUAACAAACAAAAGGACAUAGAAAAUCAAGAUUUAAGGAAAAUUCCUCAUCACUCAAAAUAACAAUGCCAUUUCCACUAACACAAGUGCUAGCAAUGUCAAUGCCUCAAUUACAUACAUUUUCCAUCCGACAAUCUACUCCAAGUGUAACAGAUUCACCAACAAGUCAUAGCAAGUUAAUGCUACAACCCUUUCCAACACCUCAAUGAGUAAACCCUUUAAGAACCAAGGUACUAACUUAAGUUUAGCAUAAUAGACCACUAUUAAGAAUCCAGUCAAGGCUACUUCAUUGUUACUAUAUAUAAGUAGAUUAGCUUCACCAUCAACCACUUUGGGGUUGAUCAUCAUCUAACCAAGCAACUUCGUAAACACAUUACUUAUUAUCACAUGAAUAUGAUAUAAAAAUCACAAUGACUUGAUCAUCAAUCAAGAAACACCACGAAUAAUGCUAAUGUCAUUACUUUAAAGGUUUAAUGUGAGUAUCAAGUGUCAACUCAAUUUCACAAAAUGCAACAUAAAUACCACACUCCACCGAUAGAGACUUACAACACCCAACACCAUUAAUUUUUGUUCAUAACACGGACAAGUUUAUGUUGCUCUCUAUCUUACCAAACUCAAAACUAAUCCAACACCAAGCUAUUCAAGGAGUAAUACCAAGGUUCUUUGAAAAAGAAUUGACCAUUGCAACUUAAAUCUUCAAUAGUAAGCUUAGACAAAAUGGUUUAACGCUUCACCACUAUUCAUCCCUUGACUCACCACUUGUAAGACUAUUAUAACCAAUAUGCAUCAAAAUAGGGACUCAUGAUUGCAUAAUGUAAAUAUAAGCAAUGAGUUAACACCUUAUUGCAAAUCAUCUCUCCAAAAAGAAAAAAUUAUUUACGUGUUUGAUCUUUCGUCCUUAAUGGUUUUCUUUUCGGUCUCAUCUUUAACUAAACCUUGAGUUUGCAUUUGCAUUGUUUUAGUCCAACCAAAGAAAUUUUUUUGAGAGAGCACAGCAAUAACUAUUUGAACCAAUUUAUAUUACUAGUUUUUUAUUAUCUAUUUUCUGUAUAUAUUUUUGUAGUUGUUUUUGAAUAUUUAUAUAUUUGUUCCAGGUUUUCUAUGUAAAUUUUUUUUCUGUUUUUUAAAUUUUUUUCUAGUGAUGUAUAUGACAUUACCAUUGUUUCUAUUUUUAAAUGUUCUACUUUUUCUGAUUUAUAGUCAUUUGUAUGCAAUAUUACUAAUGAAGAAAGAAGGAUAUAUACAAAUAAUAAAAGACAAUACACAUAAUAAGAAACUAAUAGAUCAUAUAUGGGUAAAAGAUAUAAUAUAUACAGAAGCAGGAAUAGCACCUGCAUACUGGACAGAUCAUAAUAAAUUAUAUAUCAUAAUAAAAAUUAUUUAAAAACAAAAUAAAACCAAGUGUUGCUGCAACUCAACAUGCAGCAAUUUUAUUUUCAUUUGUAAAGGAACUCAAGUUACAAAGAUAGUAUAUAAGUUAUAUAUAUGGAUCUAAAGGGCUUUUAAAGAUAUUUUAAGUUAGUCAAACCCUAGAUACAAAUCAAUUACAAUUCACAAUUCACGGUAAAGCCUCACAACUAUGGCCAUAGCCUUCGCAAGGGUUAUUAUGGCCAUGAUUGCUUUGCAUCUUUGCAAGCCUUGUGUCAUGACAGUUACAAGCUCCAUCAUUUUCUCCUUCAUUGACAUUUUGUUUUUCUCAGGGUGAGCUCCAGGAUGCAUUUUGCUUUCUAUUUCAAAUUUAUGUGUACAUCGUGGUGUUAGGGAUCUUGGUGAGAAGGAGAGCUUCAUGGUUGAGUGUUGUUUCUCAUGUGAUUUGCAUAGCCAAAAGCUAAAUUGAUUUUCUAAAAUAAAAUAAAAGUUUUUAAUAAUCCUAUAUCUAUGCAAAACCAUUGCAACAUAACCCGAAUCAUAGGACUACUACAUGCUUAGUAUUCUAAACGACCUGGCCACGAUCUUGCUUUUCUCAGGCAACUUUUGGGCGUUUCUGUUGCAAAUCGUCCGCAAACUUCUCUGUGGCAUCUAUUGGGCGCUUCUGUCGCGGAUCACCUGUAAACUUGAAAUGUCACAUCAUGAUAUCAUGGGAAUAGCGUAUCACGAAUGUGUCUUACCAAGCUCCUUAAUGUCAGAGACGUUUGGAAUUGGAAGCUUAUACGUGUCAGGAAGCAGCAGAUGGAGCCAUGAUUUCGCUUCCUCUGAUUGCUUUCCAGCCUCCACCUCCGUAUCCGGCACCGCAAUUGAAAGUUCAGCUAGAAGUCUCUUCGUCUCAGCACCAAGGAAACGAAAGUUGCGUUCGAGACCAUAAACUGUUAUGUGCGCAACAGGCUCCGUUUUCUUGCCAUAAGCUUCGUCACGCUGCAAGUAAGACUUAUGCAUCUCAUCCUUCUUCCAUAACUUUGGUGGCACUGGCUCUUUAAGGUUUGGUUCUUGGACAUUGAUGAGGACCGUCACCACUUUGAUUUCGAUUCCUGAGACUUGCAUGAGCCUCGGCCUCAACACAGUCGUAGAAGCUUUGUUGAGCCACCCACACUUUCUACUGUUCUCAACCGAAACGAGCAGCGCAGUCAUCCCCAAGGAAGUCCAGACCGGAAUAACAAUGUCAUAACCUCGGACUUUAUUGUUGGCUUUGUACAUGAUUGCACAGCCUCUCAUGAACGCAGCUGCCAGGAUCUCGGGUGUCAACUGCCCCUGCUUAACCAGCAUAAAACUGUUAAAAAAGACGGCAGCGGAUUCAUCCAGGCCGCUGCAUGCCUCGUCAACCUGUGCCUCCUCCCAGCCCAGCAAUCGUCCGAUAUAAUCCCGGAGAGGAAUGCGGCGUAGGUAGUAGUCACCCUUGUACAAGCUCCAACAAGCUUGCAGCAAGAUGAGCUUCACUAUGAAUUCCCCCCGAGGUCCAGCAUCCACAUAGCCAUUGUAGCAGCCGUUCAGGAACAGCCCUAGAGCAACUUCUAGAGGCUCCCCACUCUUGCGGUUGAGAAUCCUAGCGGCCGCUUCACUCACAACGGGCUCCACGGGCUGACUGAUAUGCACUCUCGUACGAUCGAGGGAGAUGAACGUAAGGAUACUCAUGUGAGAAGCGACAAGAAGCUGGCUUUGGGCACUCCGCGGGCAUAUCUCCAGGCCUGCUGAUGCUGAAAGCAAGGCCAACGCCUGGCUCUCAGCCAUCUGUACCUUUCCGGUAGAACCACAAACGUCCACAGCUUGCCCCUGAAAUUCCCCGUCCAGCACCCCAACCAGCUUGGCUUCCGCAAGAUCGAGGAGGCUCCACACGUUUGGAUUGCUGUCAAGGCGGCUACUCCAUAGGGGCCUUCCAUACCUCAACAACUGCGCUGGAGACAAAUCCGUAGUCCGAGGAACAAGGUCCAUAUUCACCACCUGAUAAAUAGGCCUUAAAAGCCGCAAACCCAGGAUAUUAGCUUUCCUCGACUGGUCCUCGUGCCGUCGAGGCUGCAGAUUACUGAUACUCCACAUCGUAUCCAUGACAACUGCAAAGUAUUUCUUGUGUGUGAAGAAAGCUCUCGCCACUCGCCUCAUCUGGUAAAACGGCGAUUGUGCCAUACCGAAGGUGCUUUCCCCAUUCGGUAAGAGACCGCGACCUUCAUCAAAAACAAAAAGCACCUGCACCUCCCCCUCUUCCGGCAGUACAUCCUUCAAGUUGUCAAACUCUUGUUGGAGUAGUUUCUCGUUC
This 42580-nucleotide long non-coding RNA is filed under the name Selaginella moellendorffii. RNAcentral describes it as "long non-coding RNA (SMOE_LNC002135)". The record is from RNAcentral. Lineage: Eukaryota; Viridiplantae; Streptophyta; Lycopodiopsida; Selaginellales; Selaginellaceae.